UGUGGGCAGGGGAGCUGCAGCCUGCAGCAGGAAAGACUGAGGAACUGAGAUAGGCCUGGAGGGGAGCAUUGAGGAGUCUGGCACUGAAGGACCGAGAGGAGCGGAAGCUGCUGCUGGACCCUAGCAGCCCCCCUACCAAAGCUCUCAAUGGAGCCGAGCCCAACUACCACAGCCUGCCUUCCGCUCGCACUGAUGAGCAGGCCCUGCUCUCUUCCAUCCUUGCCAAGACAGCCAGCAACAUCAUUGAUGUGUCUGCUGCAGACUCACAGGGCAUGGAGCAGCAUGAGUACAUGGACCGUGCCAGGCAGUACAGCACCCGCUUGGCUGUGCUGAGCAGCAGCCUGACCCAUUGGAAGAAGCUGCCACCGCUGCCGUCUCUUACCAGCCAGCCCCACCAAGUGCUGGCCAGUGAGCCCAUCCCGUUCUCUGAUUUGCAGCAGGUCUCCAGGAUAGCUGCUUAUGCCUACAGUGCACUUUCUCAGAUCCGUGUGGACGCAAAAGAGGAGCUGGUUGUACAGUUUGGGAUCCCAUGAAG
This 535-nucleotide small RNA is filed under the name Pan troglodytes (chimpanzee). Its description in RNAcentral is "processed transcript". The record is from RNAcentral. Lineage: Eukaryota; Metazoa; Chordata; Mammalia; Primates; Hominidae.